CCUACGGGUGGCUGCAGUGGGGGAUAUUGCACAAUGGGGGAAACCCUGAUGCAGCGACGCCGCGUGUGGGAAGACGGUCCUCUGGCUUGUAAACCACUGUCCCCAGGGACGAAGAUGCCGGUACCUUGGGAGGAAGCUCCGGCUAACUACGUGCCAGCAGCCGCGGUAAUACGUAGGGCGCGCGCGUUGUCCGGCAUUACUGGGUGUAAAGGGAGCGUAGGCGGGACUGCAAGUUGGGUGUCAAAUCUACCGUCUCAACCGGUAGCCGCACUCAAAACUGCAGUUCUUGAGUGAAGUAGAGGAAGGCGGAAUUCCUAGGGUAGCGGUGAAAUGCGUAGAUAUUAGGAGGAACACCAGUGGCGAAGGCGGCCGGCUGGGCUUUUACUGACGCUGAGGCUCGAAAGUGUGGGGAGCAAACAGGAUUAGAUACCCGUGUAGUC
This 440-nucleotide ribosomal RNA is filed under the name uncultured bacterium. RNAcentral's name for it is "partial 16S ribosomal RNA". It matches the Rfam family "Bacterial small subunit ribosomal RNA", at positions 338 to 795 of the family's 1533-position model. The record is from RNAcentral.